Molecule: long non-coding RNA, 539 nt
Organism: Cygnus atratus (black swan)
Lineage: Eukaryota; Metazoa; Chordata; Aves; Anseriformes; Anatidae
Exons: 4
Source: RefSeq, a predicted model, not a curated record
GGCGCCAGGGGCCGCUCUGGCGCGUCCCCGGGCCGGACGUCCUGCGCCAGCCCCCGGCGGGAGCCCAGCUCGUCCCGGUCGGGGCCUCCCGCCCGGGGCGGGACACGCGGCUGCGGCCCGCUCCCGCUCGAGGCAGCCCGGGCCGCAACUCCGCCGGAGGCCCCGCGGAACGCGGGGCGAGCCCGGCCUCUACACGGGCCACGCAGGCCGAAGAAAAAAGGAACUUAUCAAAUAAUGUAAGAAAGAUGGAUAUCAUGUGUCCUCUUAUUCAAUCCAUCUUAAGAAGCAACAGCACGCUUAGAUGAGAUAGAAUCAUCUUCAUUUUCAUGCAGACGCUUUCUCGUUGUGGCUGACUAAAAGAAAGAUGCAGCAGGGUGGCUACAUUAAUCAGGUGCUACAAACAAACGGGGAGAUGUAUUACAGUAGUUACAUACCACAAUUGCUGAAACCUUUUCCAAGUGCAAAGAGUCGACCCCAAGGCUGAGGAACAAGCUCUUCAGGUUCCUGAUCCUCAGGGAUUGAUGGAAGCUCCUGAGUGG